Molecule: ribosomal RNA, 412 nt
Filed under: Salmonella enterica subsp. enterica serovar Aberdeen
Lineage: Bacteria; Pseudomonadati; Pseudomonadota; Gammaproteobacteria; Enterobacterales; Enterobacteriaceae
Description: bacterial SSU rRNA
Rfam family: Bacterial small subunit ribosomal RNA
Source: RNAcentral
UUAAAUUGAAGAGUUUGAUCAUGGCUCAGAUUGAUCGCUGGCGGCAGGCCUAACACAUGCAAGUCGUACGGUAACAGGAAGCAGCUUGCUGCUUUGCUGACGAGUGGCGGACGGGUGAGUAAUGUCUGGGAAACUGCCUGAUGGAGGGGGAUAACUACUGGAAACGGUGGCUAAUACCGCAUAACGUCGCAAGACCAAAGAGGGGGACCUUCGGGCCUCUUGCCAUCAGAUGUGCCCAGAUGGGAUUAGCUUGUUGGUGAGGUAACGGCUCACCAAGGCGACGAUCCCUAGCUGGUCUGAGAGGAUGCCCAGCCACACUGGAACUGAGACACGGUCCAGACUCCUACGGGAGGCAGCAGUGGGGAAUAUUGCACAAUGGGCGCAAGCCUGAUGCAGCCAUGCCGCGAGUUUG